Molecule: microRNA precursor, 64 nt
Filed under: Hydra vulgaris (swiftwater hydra)
Lineage: Eukaryota; Metazoa; Cnidaria; Hydrozoa; Anthoathecata; Hydridae
Description: mir-3012 microRNA precursor family
Rfam family: mir-3012 microRNA precursor family
Source: Rfam by way of RNAcentral
AAGGAAAAACUUUCUGUAUAUCCACUAAUGCUUUCAUCAGUGGAUUUGUAGAAAGUUUUACCAA